This 441-nucleotide ribosomal RNA is filed under the name uncultured bacterium. Its description in RNAcentral is "partial 16S ribosomal RNA". It matches the Rfam family "Bacterial small subunit ribosomal RNA", at positions 338 to 795 of the family's 1533-position model. The record is from RNAcentral.
CCUACGGGUGGCAGCAGUGGGGAAUAUUGCACAAUGGGGGAAACCCUGAUGCAGCAACGCCGCGUGAAGGAAGACGGUUUUCGGAUUGUAAACCUCUGUUCUUAGUGAAGAAUAAUGACGGUAGCUAAGGAGCAAGCCACGGCGAACUACGUGCCAGCAGCCGCGGUAAGACGCAGGUGGCAAGGGUUGUCCGGAAUUACUGGGGGUAAAGGGAGCGUAGGCGGGAAGCCAAGUCAGCUGUGAAAACUACGGGCUUAACUUGUAGACUGCAGUUGAAACUGGUUGUCUUGAGUGCAGUAGAGGUUGGCGGAAUUCCGGGUGUAGCGGUGAAAUGCGUCGAUAUUUGGAGGAACUCCGGUGGCGAAGGCGGCCAACUGGUCUUUAACUGACGCUGAGGCUCGAAAGUGUGGGGAGCAAACAGGAUUAGAUACCCGUGUAGUC